UGAAGCGGGACCGGCUCAAUGUGUGAAUCUGGCUUGGGGUAGUUCCCUGGUCCGAGUUGUGCACUAUGGACGUUUCGUCUGCGUUUGUAAUGGCGGUGGAAGUCCGUUGAAACACGGCACCUCAGAGGGUCACAGUCCUGUACCACCUGCCUGCACUCGCGCCAAUGACAAGCGCUCCUCGAGUCGCGUAGUUUUGUAAUGCUGCGCCAAGUGGGAGGUAGAGACCUUCUAAGGCUAAAUAUGAUGACGUGACCGAUAGCACACAAGUACCGCGAGGGAAAGGUGAAAAGCAACCAUGAAAAAUGGGUUGAAACAGUAGUGAAAGCGCUACCGGGAUAAGGGCUAUUGGGUGCUGGGGCUUCUCGGGUGUGCUUCAGUGCUACCCUUGGAGACGGCCCGCGUGGGUUGAUUGGGGUGAUAAACGCGCCGUUGGAAUUCGGCUGUCUUUGGACAGUGUUGUAGCCUUCGGUCGCCGUCCUCCUGCGAC
Molecule: ribosomal RNA, 487 nt
Filed under: Tulasnella dendritica
Lineage: Eukaryota; Fungi; Basidiomycota; Agaricomycetes; Cantharellales; Tulasnellaceae
Description: eukaryotic LSU rRNA
Rfam family: Eukaryotic large subunit ribosomal RNA
Source: RNAcentral